UCAAACGCGUCGAUGCGUUGGCGGUCGG
This 28-nucleotide non-coding RNA is filed under the name Bombyx mori (domestic silkworm). The record is from RNAcentral. Lineage: Eukaryota; Metazoa; Arthropoda; Insecta; Lepidoptera; Bombycidae.